AUUGAACGCUGGCGGCAGGCCUAACACAUGCAAGUCGAGCGGUAGAGAGGUGCUUGCAUCUCUUGAGAGCGGCGGACGGGUGAGUAAUGCCUAGGAAUCUGCCUAGUGGUGGGGGAUAACGUUCGGAAACGGACGCUAAUACCGCAUACGUCCUACGGGAGAAAGCGGGGGAUCUUCGGACCUCGCGCCAUUAGAUGAGCCUAGGUCGGAUUAGCUAGUUGGUGAGGUAAUGGCUCACCAAGGCGACGAUCCGUAACUGGUCUGAGAGGAUGAUCAGUCACACUGGAACUGAGACACGGUCCAGACUCCUACGGGAGGCAGCAGUGGGGAAUAUUGGACAAUGGGCGAAAGCCUGAUCCAGCAAUGCCGCGUGAGUGAUGAAGCCUUAGGGUUGUAAGACUCUUUACCUUGAGAUGAUAAUG
Molecule: ribosomal RNA, 422 nt
Filed under: uncultured bacterium
Lineage: Bacteria
Description: bacterial SSU rRNA
Rfam family: Bacterial small subunit ribosomal RNA
Source: RNAcentral